GCUUUUCUUUUUGUAAUGAGGUUUGGUAGGCCUUGUUUUAACAUUUUCAUUCAUUGAAAUAAAUAAUAUACAAUAAGAUUAUUCGUAUUUGGUACAUGGAGGUCAAUAAAAUGUGUGAUUAAAUUUAAAUGCUUAUUCGACACCUAAGACAUUUAUUGUGACUUAAUUUUAGAAUUUCCAUUAUGAUGAACUGUAGUAGCUGAAACUAUAAAAUUUUAUUAAAUAGUUGGAUUUGUUUUUUUUUUUAAUUAGUUGACUUCUUCUUUUUUUUUAAAUAGUUGAAACUAGAAAAAUUAUUAAAUAGUUGGAUUUGUUUUUGUUUAAUUAGUUGACCUUUUUCUAAUUUAAAUUUUUUUAAUUCCCUUGAAGAUCACCAAAUGAGCCUUAGAAUCGAGAAUCAAAAUAGAUGUUUUAGUUGGUUAACUGUUUGUUCAAUCACAAUCAAG
Molecule: long non-coding RNA, 446 nt
Filed under: Amborella trichopoda
Lineage: Eukaryota; Viridiplantae; Streptophyta; Magnoliopsida; Amborellales; Amborellaceae
Description: long non-coding RNA (ATRI_LNC004452)
Source: RNAcentral